This 542-nucleotide ribosomal RNA is filed under the name uncultured bacterium. Its description in RNAcentral is "partial 16S ribosomal RNA". It matches the Rfam family "Bacterial small subunit ribosomal RNA", at positions 355 to 881 of the family's 1533-position model. The record is from RNAcentral.
UGGGGAAUAUUGCACAAUGGGCGCAAGCCUGAUGCAGCCAUGCCGCGUGUGUGAAGAAGGCCUUCGGGUUGUAAAGCACUUUCAGCGAGGAGGAAGGUGGUGAGCUUAAUACGCUCAUCAAUUGACGUUACUCGCAGAAGAAGCACCGGUUAACUCCGUGCCAGCAGCCGCGGUAAUACGGAGGGUNCAAGCGUUAAUCGGAAUUACUGGGCGUAAAGCGCACGCAGGCGGUUUGUUAAGUCAGAUGUGAAUCCCGGCGUCAACCUGGGAACUGCAUUUGAAACUGGCAAGCUAGAGUCUCGUAGAGGGGGGUGNGAAUUACCAGGUGUAGCGGUGAAAUGCGUAGAGAUCUGGAGGAAUACCGGUGGCGAAGGCGGCCCCCCUGGACGAAGACUGACGCUCAGGUGCGAAAAGCGUGGGGGCAGCAAACAGGAUUAGAUACCCUGGUAGUCCACGCUGUAAAACGAUGUCGAUUUUGGGAGGUUGUGCCCCUUGAGGCGUGGCUUCCGGAGCUAACGCGUUAAAUCGACCGCCUGGGGAGU